GAAACGCGAUAGGUAAUGUGAAUUGCAGAAUUCCGUGAAUCAUCGAAUCUUUGAACGCACAUUGCGCCUUCUGGUAUUCCGGUAGGCAUGCCUGUUUGAGCGUCAGCAAAACCCCUCAGCAAAUCUAUUUUUGUUGGUUCUGGGUUGGGAGGAAAUGGGGGACUAGCUCCCCCGCUCCCGCCUUAAACUUGCUGCAUGACCGCAAGCUUUUAGCAAGGUUAAUGGAGUGGUGUCUACAUUUCUUCCAUAUUCUUCUGAGCUAUAGUGCUUUGUGGCGUUAAACGUACCGUUGCUUAACCGCGACUGAAGUUUGACCUCAAAUCAGACAAGGAUACCCGCUGAACUUAA
This 348-nucleotide unclassified non-coding RNA is filed under the name uncultured Orbiliales. RNAcentral describes it as "sequence contains ITS1". The stretch from base 1 to 105 matches the Rfam family "5.8S ribosomal RNA", at positions 50 to 154 of the family's 154-position model. The record is from RNAcentral. Lineage: Eukaryota; Fungi; Ascomycota; Orbiliomycetes; Orbiliales.